RNAcentral lists this ribosomal RNA (424 nucleotides) under Verrucomicrobiota bacterium. RNAcentral's name for it is "Verrucomicrobia bacterium partial 16S ribosomal RNA". It matches the Rfam family "Bacterial small subunit ribosomal RNA", at positions 355 to 776 of the family's 1533-position model. Lineage: Bacteria; Pseudomonadati; Verrucomicrobiota. The record is from RNAcentral.
UGAGGAAUAUUGGUCAAUGGGCGAGAGCCUGAACCAGCCAAGUAGCGUGCAGGAAGACGGCCCUAUGGGUUGUAAACUGCUUUUAUGUGGGGAUAAAGUGCGUGACGUGUCAUGCAUUGCAGGUACCACAUGAAUAAGGACCGGCUAAUUCCGUUCCAGCAGCCGCGGUAAUACGGAAGGUCCGGGCGUUAUCCGGAUUUAUUGGGUUUAAAGGGAGCGUAGGCCGUUUGGUAAGCGUGUUGUGAAAUGUAGGAGCUCAACUUCUAGAUUGCAGCGCGAACUGUAAGACUUGAGUGCGCAGAACGUAGGCGGAAUUCAUGGUGUAGCGGUGAAAUGCUUAGAUAUCAUGAAGAACUCCGAUUGCGAAGGCAGCUUACGGGAGCGCAACUGACGCUGAAGCUGGAAGGUGCGGGUAUCGAACAGG